RNAcentral lists this ribosomal RNA (539 nucleotides) under uncultured bacterium. Its description in RNAcentral is "partial 16S ribosomal RNA". It matches the Rfam family "Bacterial small subunit ribosomal RNA", at positions 355 to 885 of the family's 1533-position model. The record is from RNAcentral.
UGGGGAAUUUUGGACAAUGGGCGCAAGCCUGAUCCAGCCAUGCCGCGUGCGGGAAGAAGGCCUUCGGGUUGUAAACCGCUUUUGUCAGGGAAGAAAUCUUCUGAGUUAAUACCUCGGGAGGAUGACGGUACCUGAAGAAUAAGCACCGGCUAACUACGUGCCAGCAGCCGCGGUAAUACGUAGGGUGCAAGCGUUAAUCGGAAUUACUGGGCGUAAAGCGUGCGCAGGCGGUUUUGUAAGACAGAGGUGAAAUCCCCGGGCUCAACCUGGGAACUGCCUUUGUGACUGCAAGGCUUGAGUGCGGCAGAGGGGGGAUGGAAUUCCGCGUGUAGCAGUGAAAUGCGUAGAUAUGCGGAGGAACACCGAUGGCGAAGGCAAUCCCCUGGGCCUGCACUGACGCUCAUGCACGAAAGCGUGGGGAGCAAACAGGAUUAGAUAGCCCUGGUAGUCCACGCCCUAAACGAUGUCAACUGGUUGUUGGGAAGGUUCCUUCUCAGUAACGUAGCUAACGCGUGAAGUUGACCGCCUGGGGAGUACGG